AUCCCCAUACUGGUCCUUACUGGUGCCUAUUGGCCUUUACUGGUUCAUACUGGGCCUUACUGGUCAAGUAUGAGCAUCCCAUAGCCUCAGUACACCCAGUUCGGUACUACCAGUACCAGAAAUCCCCGUACUGGUCCUUACUGGUUCAUACUGGGCCUCACUGGUCCCUAUUGUCCAUUAUGGGUUUUUACUGGUCCUUACUGGUUCAGUACAAGCACUCCAUAGCCUCAGUACACCCAGUUCGGCGCCACAGCCCACAUACUGGUCCUUACUGGUUUAUACUGGUCCCUAUUGGCACUCACUGGUCCGUACUGGCCCUUACUGGUCCGUACUGGUCAAGUAUGGGCAUCCCAUAGCCUCAGUAGACCCGGUUCAGUACAACCAGUACCAGAGAUCCCCAUACUGGUCCCAGUACCACCAGAACGGGUGCCACAGACCCCUACUGGUCCCAGGACCACCAGUACUGGUGCCGGAGCCCCCGUACUGGUCCCAGUAUGAGCAGUACUGGUGCCGGAACCCCUGCACUGGUCCCAGUAUGGGCAGUAAUGAUGCUGGAGCUCCUGUACUGGUUCCAGUACCACCAGUACUGGUGCUGGCACUCCCAUACUGGUCCCAGCACCACCAGUACAGGUGCUGGGUCCCCCAUAAUGGUCCCAGUACAACCAGUAAUGGUGCCGGAACCCCCUGUACUGGUUCCAGUACCACCAGUACUGGUGCCGGGGCUCCUGUACUGGUCCCAGUACCACCAGUACGGGUGCUGGGUCCCACAUACUGGUCCCAGUACGAGCAGUACUGGUGCCGGAGCUCCCGUACAGGUCCCAGUACGGGCAGUACAGGUGCUGGGUCCCCCGUAAUGGUCCCAGUACCACCAGUACUGGUGCCGGAACCCCCGUACUGGCUCAAGUACCACCAGUACUGGUGCUGGCGCUCCUCUACUGGUCCCAGUAUCACCAGUACAGGUGCUGGGUCCCCCGUACUGGUCCCAGUACCACCAGUACUGGUGCCGGGGCCCCCGUACUGGUCCCAGUAUGGGCAGUAGAGGUGCCGGAGCUCCCGUACUGGUCCCAGUACGGGCAGUACAGGUGCCAGACCUCUUGUACUGGUCCCAGUACAGGCAUUACUGGUGCCGGAACCCUAGAACUGGUCCCAGUACCACCAGAACAGGUGCCGGGGCCCCCGUACUGGUCCCAGUACAGGCAGUACAGGUGCCGGGGCCCCCGUACUUGUCCCUGUACCACCAGUACUGGUGCCAGAGCUCCCGUACUGGUCCCAGUACCACCAGUACAGGUGCCGGAGCUCCCGUACUGGUCCCAGUACGGGCAGUACUGGUGCCGGAGCUCCCGUACUGGUCCCAGUACGGGCAGUAGAGGUGCCGGAGCUCCCGUACUGGUCCCAGUACCACCAGUACAGGUGCCGGGGCCCCCGUACUGGUCCCCGUACCACCAGUACUGGUGCCGGAGCUCCUGUACUGGUCCCAGUACGGGCAGUACAGGUGCUGGAGCUCCCAUACUGGUCCCAGUACGGGCAGUACUGGUGCCGGAGCUCCCGCACUGGGACCAGUACAGGCAGUACUGGUGCCGGAGCUCCCGUACUGGUCCCAGUACGGGCAGUACAGGUGCCGGGGCCCCCAUACUGGUCCCAGUACGGGCAGUACUGGUGCCGGGGCCCCCGUACUGGUCCCAGUACGGGCAGUACUGGUGCUGGGGCCCCUGUACUGGUCCCAGUACCACCAGUACAGGUGCCAGAGCUCCCGUACUGCUCCCAGUACAGGCAGUACUGUUGCCGGAGCUCCCAUACUGGUCCCAGUACCACCAGUACAGGUGCCGGAGCUCCCGUACUGGUCCCAGGACGGCCAGUACAGGUGCCGGAGCUCCCGUACUGGUCCCAGUACAGGCAGUACUGGUGCCGGAGCUCCCAUACUGGUCCCAGUACGGGCAGUAGAGGUGCCGGAGCUCCCGUACUGGUCCCAGUACCACCAGUACAGGUGCCGGGGCCCCCGUACUGGUCCCAGUAUGGGCAGUAGAGGUGCCGGAGCUCCUGUACUGGUCCCAGUACGGGCAGUACUGGUGCCGGGUCCCCCGUACUGGUCCCAGUAUGGGCAGUACAGGUGCCGGAGCUCCUGUAAUGGUCCCGGUACCACCAGAACAGGUGCCGGGGCCCCCGUACUGGUCCCAGUACAGGCAGUAGAGGUGCCGGAGCUCCCGUACUGGUCCCAGUACCACCAGUACAGGUGCAGGGACCCCGUACUGGUCCCAGUACGGGCAGUAGAGGUGCCGGAGCUCCCGUACUGGUCCCAGUACCACCAGUACAGGUGCCGGAGCUCCCGUGCUGGUCCCAGUACCACCAGUACAGGUGCCGGAGCUCCCGUGCUGGUCCCAGUACCACCCGUACAGGUGCCGGGACCCUGUACUGGUCCCAGUACCACCAGUACAGGUGCCGGAGCUCCUGUGCUGGUCCCGGUACCACCAGUACAGGUGCUGGGGCCCCUGUACUGUUCCCAGUACCAGUAGUACAGGGGCCGGGACCCCGUACUGGUCCCAGUACAGGCAGUACUGGUGCCAGGACCCCUGUACUGGUCCCAGUACAGGCAGUACAGGGGCCGGAGCUCCUGUACUGGUCCCAGUACCACCAGUGCAGGGGCCAGAGCCCCCGUACUGGUCCCAGUAUGGGCAGUACUAGCACUGGUGCUCCCGUACUGGUCCCAGUACCACCAGUGCAGGUGCCAGAUUCCCCGUACUGGUCCCAGUAUGGGCAGUACUGGUGCCGGGGCCCCCAUACUGGUCCCAGUACAGGCAGUACUGGUGCCACAGCCCCUCUACUGGUCUGUACUGGUCCAGUACCAGCAGCCUAUAGCCCCAGUACAUCCAGUUUAGUAUCUCCAGUUCCAGAGCCCUCAUACUGGUCCAUACUGGGCCAGUCCCAGCAACCAGUGCAUUUAAACUCAUCCAAUUACAACAAUCAAUUAGUGCAAUUAGUCCCUAGCAGCCUCUAAUUAACCCAGCUCAUUAAGUCCCCACACCAGCCUCGUUAAGCGCGAAGCGUUAAUUGCUUUGAAAAAGUCCAAAUUGGGGCAAAAGCCAAAUAAAUGUGGUUUGAGGACUGGGUUCA
Anser cygnoides (Swan goose) is the source of this 3108-nucleotide long non-coding RNA. The record is from Ensembl. Lineage: Eukaryota; Metazoa; Chordata; Aves; Anseriformes; Anatidae.